This 199-nucleotide ribosomal RNA is filed under the name uncultured bacterium. RNAcentral's name for it is "partial 16S ribosomal RNA". It matches the Rfam family "Bacterial small subunit ribosomal RNA", at positions 1301 to 1500 of the family's 1533-position model. The record is from RNAcentral.
CAGGCUGNAACCCGCCUGCAUGAAGUCGGAAUUGCUAGUAAUCGCGGAUCAGCAUGCCGCGGUGAAUACGUUCCCGGGCCUUGUACACACCGCCCGUCACACCAUGGGAGCCGGUAAUACCCGAAGUCAGUAGUCCAACCUCGUGAGGACGCUGCCGAAGGUAGGAUUGGCGACUGGGGUGAAGUCGUAACAAGGUACC